This 440-nucleotide ribosomal RNA is filed under the name uncultured Acetobacteraceae bacterium. Its description in RNAcentral is "partial 16S ribosomal RNA". Lineage: Bacteria; Pseudomonadati; Pseudomonadota; Alphaproteobacteria; Acetobacterales; Acetobacteraceae. The record is from RNAcentral.
GACUACUGGGGUAUCUAAUCCUGUUUGCUCCCCACGCUUUCGCGCCUCAGCGUCAGUUAUGGACCAGUUGGCCGCCUUCGCCACCGGUGUUCUUCCCAAUAUCUACGAAUUUCACCUCUACACUGGGAAUUCCACCAACCUCUUCCACACUCUAGUCUAAUAGUUUUGAACGCAGUUCCCGGGUUAAGCCCGGGGAUUUCACGCCCAACUUAUCAAACCGCCUACGCGCUCUUUACGCCCAGUAAUUCCGAACAACGCUUGCUCCCUUCGUAUUACCGCGGCUGCUGGCACGAAGUUAGCCGGAGCUUAUUCUGCAGGUACCGUCAUCAUCGUCCCUGCCAAAAGGGCUUUACAAUCCGAAGACCUUCAUCACCCACGCGGCGUUGCUGGAUCAGGGUUUCCCCCAUUGUCCAAUAUUCCCCACUGCUGCCCCCCGUAGG